AUGUAUAUAUUGACACUAUGCAUGCGAGUUGGGGUUAAUGCUGUUACGGAUUUUAUGUUGGCAUAUUUUAUGAAGUAAGUCGAGUCUUGAAUGUUUGAAGAAGAAGAGAUGAAGAUCGAAGACUCGAAGACUCAAAACAUGAAUGCACAAUGCUCGGUAAGUUUAAAUACUAUUGAUGAUGAUUUAUAAAUGUUUAAAAGUGUUUGGAAGACUUAGGAUGGUUUUAAAAUAUGAAUUUAGACAAGACUGAG
RNAcentral lists this long non-coding RNA (251 nucleotides) under Ananas comosus (pineapple). RNAcentral's name for it is "long non-coding RNA (ACOM_LNC021269)". Lineage: Eukaryota; Viridiplantae; Streptophyta; Magnoliopsida; Poales; Bromeliaceae. The record is from RNAcentral.